This 18-nucleotide small nuclear RNA is filed under the name Arabidopsis thaliana (thale cress). RNAcentral describes it as "snRNA_14076". Lineage: Eukaryota; Viridiplantae; Streptophyta; Magnoliopsida; Brassicales; Brassicaceae. The record is from RNAcentral.
UGCAGGAAGUCACAGUCA